Molecule: non-coding RNA, 92 nt
Filed under: Psychrobacillus psychrodurans
Lineage: Bacteria; Bacillati; Bacillota; Bacilli; Caryophanales; Bacillaceae
Also listed under: 1 other name
Source: RNAcentral
AGGAGCCGUGUGCGUAAAUAGCGCAAGCACGGUUCUGUGAGGGGGGUGGAACACAAUCUACCGUAAGGUAGAGAGGUUCCCUUCUACUCGAC